GGGAGGAAAAACUCUAUGGGGCGGGGCGGGGUCUGGGAGGUAGUUUUUUGUAAAGCUACAGAAAAUAGGAAAGAGACUUCAUCUCAAUGAUUUAGAAGACUUUAGAAGACUCUAAAAAUAAUCUACAGGAGGACCCAAGAGAUCCAACACGCUGGACUCCUCUAUAGGAUAUCAAAAGGAACUCCGGGUGAGGACGACAAGAGCUGAGCUCGGGUGCUUGCCUUCUGCACUCUCGGGAGGAGGCACCAGCAUGGGCACCCUUCACAGUUCGGGCCCCUCACUCACAAACGUCUGGCACAUGGAAACAAGCUGGCAAAAAGAUUGUUUUUUUCUUCUGUACUUUUUGUUAUAAGCCUGUGGUGAAGUGUCCAUAUCUGGCAUAAAUGAAUGUGAGUGGUCUUGGGAAUCUAAAUAUAACAUGUUUCUAAGUUACA
Molecule: long non-coding RNA, 434 nt
Filed under: Homo sapiens (human)
Lineage: Eukaryota; Metazoa; Chordata; Mammalia; Primates; Hominidae
Description: HSALNT0324016
Source: RNAcentral